GGAUCGGUAGCUCAGUGGUAGAGCGUGGGAUUGCAGCCUACAAGCAGCAGUUAUCCUAAGGUCUCGUGUUCGACCCACGAUCGGUCCU
This 88-nucleotide transfer RNA is filed under the name Coniochaeta pulveracea. It matches the Rfam family "tRNA". From Rfam's summary of the family: Transfer RNA (tRNA) molecules are approximately 80 nucleotides in length. Lineage: Eukaryota; Fungi; Ascomycota; Sordariomycetes; Coniochaetales; Coniochaetaceae. The record is from Rfam by way of RNAcentral.